AUGGGAACCAGGUGUCAGGAAGAUCUACUUUAGGCCGGACGCAGUGGCUCACACCUGUAAUCCCAGCACUUUGGAAGAUUGAGGUGGGCAGAUCAUGAGGUCAAGAGAUCGAGACCAACCUGGCCAAUAUGGUGAAACCUCGUCUCUACUAAAAAUACAAAAAUUAGCUGGGCAUGGUGGCGGGCGCCUGUAGUCCCAGCUAUUCUGGAGGCUGAGGCAGGAGAAUUGCUUGAACCCUGGAGGCGGAGGUUGCCGUGAGCUAACAUUGCGCCCCUACACUCCAGCCUGCCAACAGAGCAAGACUCCGUCUCAAAAAUAAAAAAAGGAUCUACUUUUGAGAAUACUGUCAUUGGUUGAUAAAAUACAGCAGAAACUUGUGAAGAAGCUAUUUUCCAGUAAGCUAAUUCAAGUUGUUUAGAACUAUAAUUGAAUAUCCAAUAAAAUUGUUAUGUAAAUAUGAUUGAUAUUGUUACUGAAAUAUCACAUGAAAACUCCUAAACUCCUUAAGUAAUUGAAAUAGUAUUAAUGUGAAAGAGCU
This 538-nucleotide long non-coding RNA is filed under the name Homo sapiens (human). RNAcentral's name for it is "HSALNT0316035". The record is from RNAcentral. Lineage: Eukaryota; Metazoa; Chordata; Mammalia; Primates; Hominidae.